RNAcentral lists this ribosomal RNA (576 nucleotides) under Saxomyces alpinus. RNAcentral describes it as "mitochondrial SSU rRNA". It matches the Rfam family "Bacterial small subunit ribosomal RNA", at positions 474 to 1109 of the family's 1533-position model. Lineage: Eukaryota; Fungi; Ascomycota; Dothideomycetes. The record is from RNAcentral.
ACUUUCUAUCUAUAUGUCUUGACCAACUUACGUGCCCAGCAGUCGCGGCAAUACGUAGAAGACUAGUGUUAUUCAUCUUUAUUAGGUUUAAAGGGUACCUAGACGGUAAAACUAGCCCAAAUAGGGAACAGUUUUACUAGAGUUUUAUGUAAGAGGUAAAUGUUAGGACUAUUGGUGUAGAGAUGAAAUUCUUUGAUACUAAUGGGAUGGGUGGCGGCGAAAGCAAACCUCUAUGUAUAAACUGACGUUGAGGGACGAAGGCUCGGGGAGCGAAUAGGAUUAGAUACCCUAGUAGUCCGGGCAGACAAUUAUGAAUGUCAUAUGCUAGGUUUUACACUUGGUGUAUAAAUGAAAGUGCAAGCAUUCCACCUCAAGAGUAAUGUGGCAACGCAGGAACUGAAAUCAUUAGACCGUGUCUGAAACCAGUAGUGAAGUAUGUUAUUUAAUUCGAUGAUCCUCGAAAAACCUUACCACAAUUUGAAUAUUAUUUCUUUAAAUAAUACAAGCGUUGCACGGCUGUCUUCAGUUAAUGUCGUGAGAUUUUGGUUAGAUUCAUUAAUUAACGUAAACCCAUAC